AUUGAACGCUGGCGGAAUGCUUUACACAUGCAAGUCGAACGGUAGAGGGGGCAACCCCUCGAGAGUGGCGAACGGGUGAGUAAUAUAUCGGAACGUGCCCAGUCGUGGGGGAUAACUGCUCGAAAGAGCAGCUAAUACCGCAUACGACCUGAGGGUGAUAGGGGGGGAUCGCAAGACCUCUCGCUAUCCGAGCGGCCGAUGUCGGAUUAGCUAGUUGGUGGGGUAAAAGCCCACCCAGGCGACGAUCCGUAGCUGGUCUGAGAGGACGACCGGCCACACGGGGACGGAGACACGGCCCAGACUCCUACGGGAGGCAGCAGUGGGGAAUUUUGGACAAUGGACGCAAGUCUGAUCCAGCCAUGCCGCGUGCGGGAAGAAGGCCUUCGGGUUGUAAACCGCUUUUGUCAGGGAAGAAACGCUCUGGGUUAAUACCCUGGGGUAAUGACGGUACCUGAAGAAUAAGCACCGGCUAACUACGUGCCAGCCGCCGCCGUAA
This 496-nucleotide ribosomal RNA is filed under the name uncultured bacterium. Its description in RNAcentral is "partial 16S ribosomal RNA". It matches the Rfam family "Bacterial small subunit ribosomal RNA", at positions 29 to 523 of the family's 1533-position model. The record is from RNAcentral.